This 694-nucleotide ribosomal RNA is filed under the name uncultured bacterium. RNAcentral's name for it is "bacterial SSU rRNA". It matches the Rfam family "Bacterial small subunit ribosomal RNA", at positions 32 to 715 of the family's 1533-position model. The record is from RNAcentral.
AACGCUAGCUACAGGCUUAACACAUGCAAGUCGAGGGGCAGCAUGAACUUAGCUUGCUAAGUUUGAUGGCGACCGGCGCACGGGUGAGUAACGCGUAUCCAACCUUCCGUACACUCAGGGAUAGCCUUUCGAAAGAAAGAUUAAUACCUGAUGGUAUGAUGAGAUUGCAUGGUAACAUCAUUAAAGAUUUAUCGGUGUACGAUGGGGAUGCGUUCCAUUAGAUAGUAGGCGGGGUAACGGCCCACCUAGUCGACGAUGGAUAGGGGUUCUGAGAGGAAGGUCCCCCACAUUGGAACUGAGACACGGUCCAAACUCCUACGGGAGGCAGCAGUGAGGAAUAUUGGUCAAUGGGCGCGAGCCUGAACCAGCCAAGUAGCGUGAAGGAUGAAGGUCCUACGGAUUGUAAACUUCUUUUAUAAGGGAAUAAAGUCACCUACGUGUAGGUGUUUGUAUGUACCUUAUGAAUAAGCAUCGGCUAACUCCGUGCCAGCAGCCGCGGUAAUACGGAGGAUGCGAGCGUUAUCCGGAUUUAUUGGGUUUAAAGGGAGCGUAGACGGGUCGUUAAGUCAGCUGUGAAAGUUUGAGGCUCAACCUUAAAAUUGCAGUUGAUACUGGCGUCCUUGAGUACGGUUGAGGCAGGCGGAAUUCGUGGUGUAGCGGUGAAAUGCAUAGAUAUCACGAAGAACUCCGAUUG